Molecule: small nucleolar RNA, 100 nt
Filed under: Setaria italica (foxtail millet)
Lineage: Eukaryota; Viridiplantae; Streptophyta; Magnoliopsida; Poales; Poaceae
Description: Small nucleolar RNA R30/Z108
Rfam family: Small nucleolar RNA R30/Z108
About the family: snoR30 is a C/D box small nucleolar RNA which acts as a methylation guide for 18S ribosomal RNA in plants.
Source: Rfam by way of RNAcentral
GUUUGAUGCAAUGAGGACAAAUAAGCUCCCUCUUCUGAAGACAUUGAGGACGCUUGCUGGCAGAAUCGAACCCAAUAAAUCUAUUGCCACCACUGAGCUA